This 73-nucleotide transfer RNA is filed under the name marine sediment metagenome. It matches the Rfam family "tRNA". From Rfam's summary of the family: Transfer RNA (tRNA) molecules are approximately 80 nucleotides in length. Their secondary structure includes four short double-helical elements and three loops (D, anti-codon, and T loops). The record is from RNAcentral.
GCCCCGGUAGUGUAGCGGUUAAGCACCCUGGCCUUUCAAGCCAGUAACCCGGGUUCGAAUCCCGGCCGGGGCA